This 201-nucleotide ribosomal RNA is filed under the name uncultured bacterium. Its description in RNAcentral is "partial 16S ribosomal RNA". It matches the Rfam family "Bacterial small subunit ribosomal RNA", at positions 326 to 535 of the family's 1533-position model. The record is from RNAcentral.
ACGCUCGACACCUACGGGAUGCAGCAGUUGGGAAUAUUGGACAAUGGAGGAAACUCUGAUCCAGUGACGCCGCGUGAAGGAAGAAGGUCUUCGGAUUGUAAACUUAUUUUGUCAGGGAAGAAAAAAUGACUGUACCUGAAGAAAAAGCACCGGCUAACUACGUGCCAGCAGCCGCGGUAAUCUGAGGCGGGCUGCGAAGGC